This 49-nucleotide transfer RNA is filed under the name Cypripedium macranthos. RNAcentral describes it as "partial tRNA-Phe". It matches the Rfam family "tRNA", at positions 1 to 47 of the family's 71-position model. From Rfam's summary of the family: Transfer RNA (tRNA) molecules are approximately 80 nucleotides in length. Their secondary structure includes four short double-helical elements and three loops (D, anti-codon, and T loops). Lineage: Eukaryota; Viridiplantae; Streptophyta; Magnoliopsida; Asparagales; Orchidaceae. RNAcentral also lists the same sequence under 31 other names. The record is from RNAcentral.
GUCGGGAUAGCUCAGUUGGUAGAGCAGAGGACUGAAAAUCCUCGUGUCA